AGCCACUGAGAGAAGAACGGGCUGGGACCGUGAUGGGGCGCCCCGGGGCCCACGCUCGCGCCGGCAUGCGUGUCAGUCUUUUAAGAACCAAGAGUCAACUGAAAUGCCUGAAGUAGGAUUACCAGAAUCAUUAUUGGAAAAACUCAUUGGAGAUAUUUCCCAGGGCCCCAUGUUGGUGAAUAAUCUUAUCCAAAAGAUCAGAGAACUCACAAUGGAAAUACUCCUUACACAUUGGACUGUGGAAAGGACUUCAUGAACUAUUCACAUCUUAUUACUCAUAAAAGAAUUCAUAAUAGAGAGAGACUCUAAGAAUGUAAGGAAUGUAAGAUCUUCAGCAGGAAGUCUGACCUCAUUAGACAUCAGAGAGUUCACAUUGGAGAGAAACCUUAUAAAUGCAAAGAAUUUGGCAAAGCCUAUAGCCAAAGUUCACCCUUUACUGUACAUCAGAAAAUUCACACUGCAGAGAAACCUUAUAAUUGUAGCGAAUUUGGAAAAGCCUUCAACCAGAGCUCAGCUCUUAUUGUACACCAGAGGAUUCACACUGGAGAGAAACCUUUUAAUUGUAAAGAAUAUGCAAAGUCAUUUGACUAGAGCUCGGGUCUUACUGUAUGCCAGAGAAUACACACUGGAGAGAAACCUUACAUUUGUGGGGAAUGUGGGAAGGCCUUCAACCAUAGCUCAGCUCUUAUUGUGCAUCAGAGCAUUCACAGUGGAGAGACGCCUUAUAAAUGUAGUCAACGUGGGAAGGCUUUUAGCCAGAGCUCAGCCCUUAUUGUGCAUAAAAGUAUUCACACUGGAGAGAAACAUUAUCAAUGUAAGGAAUGUGGGAAGUUCUUCUUUUGGCAUUCAUACUUCAUUCAACACCGUAAAAUCCAUACUAGAGAGAAACCUUAUGAAUGUAAGGAAUGUGGGAAGGCCAUUAGCCAGAGCUCUGCCCUUACUUUACAUCAGAGAAUUCAUACUGGUGAGAAAGCUUAUACAUGUGGGAACUGUGGGAAGGCCUUCAGUCAGAGCUCAGCCCUUAUUGAACAUCACUGGAGAGAAGUAUAAUAAAUGUAAGCAAUGUGGGAAUGCCUUUAAUAGAAAAUCACUCCUCAUUUAGCAUCAAAAUUCACACUGGAGAGAAACUCUUUAAAUUUAAGAAAACAUGGACAAAAUUGUAUGAAAUGAUGCAGAGUGAAGACUGUAAAGCUAAAAAUACAAAGUACAUGUGAGAAAAUCAAAUUGAUUCCAUUUUGGAAUUGGUUCAAUUCUGUAUCAUCAUGGAAUGUUUAUGUAAGAUGACUAGUCACAUUUCACUGUGUUUGAGUUAACUUUGGAAGUGCAGCUUUCCUGUAAAUCACUCAUUGUUUCUGAGCUAAGUUUAGAAGCUAAUCACUUUUCUGUUCUUGUGUCAAGGAAAUGUUAUCCUUGAAGGAUGCAGGUAGAUGCCAGGGAGACUGGUCUGUUAUCUCUAUACCCACUGGCUGUCCUUUGAGAAAUGUCUGGCCUGAUAUCACUGUGACACUAACUAGCCGUGCAGGUUGAUACCACCAAUGCACUUUUCAUAAGAGAGGUUGUUGCUAGCCCUCUAUUCCAAAUUUCUGGCCAAUCAUUGUUUUCCGUAUCUGUGAUGCUACCUUCUAUUUUUUGGAUGCUCCAUCCUUUGUCUAUAAAAAUGGCCUGUCAUCCCUCAUUUGAAGUCUUUUGGGUUGCUGAGGGGCCAAAGACCCCCUUUUAUUGCUAACUGCUAGCCUCACCAAUAAAUUGAACUGCUACUUUACCUUCUUCUCCAUUGUGAUGACUACAGCAAUAUCAAUAAAGAUGGUGCUGGAA
Trichosurus vulpecula (common brushtail) is the source of this 1815-nucleotide long non-coding RNA. RefSeq lists it as uncharacterized. The transcript has 3 exons. The record is from RefSeq and is a predicted model, not a curated record. NCBI's taxonomy places the organism in Eukaryota, Metazoa, Chordata, Mammalia, Diprotodontia, Phalangeridae.